Molecule: unclassified non-coding RNA, 336 nt
Filed under: soil metagenome
Description: partial contains 5.8S ribosomal RNA, internal transcribed spacer 2, and large subunit ribosomal RNA
Rfam family: 5.8S ribosomal RNA (bases 1-120)
Source: RNAcentral
GAUGAAGAACGUAGCGAAAUGCGAUAAGUAAUGUGAAUUGCAGAAUUCAGUGAAUCAUCGAAUCUUUGAACGCACAUUGCGCCCGCCAGUAUUCUGGCGGGCAUGCCUGUUCGAGCGUCAUUUCAACCAUCAAGCCCCCGGCUUGUGUUGGGGACCUGCGGCUGCCGCAGGCCCUGAAAAGCAGUGGCGGGCUCGCUGUCACACCGAGCGUAGUAGCAUACAUCUCGCUCUGGGCGUGCUGCGGGUUCCGGCCGUUAAACCACCUUCAUAACCCAAGGUUGACCUCGGAUCAGGUAGGAAGACCCGCUGAACUUAAGCAUAUCAACAAGCGGAGGA